RNAcentral lists this unclassified non-coding RNA (200 nucleotides) under Stachybotryaceae sp. RNAcentral's name for it is "Stachybotriaceae sp. partial internal transcribed spacer 2". The record is from RNAcentral. Lineage: Eukaryota; Fungi; Ascomycota; Sordariomycetes; Hypocreales; Stachybotryaceae.
UUAAGUUCAGCGGGUAUUCCUACCUGAUCCGAGGUCAACUUUCAGAAGUCGGGGGUUUUCCGGCGUGGCCGCCGCCGCUCCCAGCUGCGAGGUUGUGCUACUACGCAGAGGUACACGGGCGGGGCCGCCACUGUAUUUCGGGGCCGGCCGGUGAAGGCCGAUCCCCAACGCCAGGCGCGGGAGCCUGAGGGUUGAAAUGA